AUAUCAAUAAGCGGAGGAAAAGAAACCAACUGGGAUUACCUCAGUAACGGCGAGUGAAGCGGUAACAGCUCAAAUUUGAAAUCUGGCCUCUCGGGGUCCGAGUUGUAAUUUGUAGAGGGUGUUUCGGGCAAGGCUGUGGUUUAAAUUUCUUGGAACAGAAUGUCAUAGAGGGUGAGAAUCCCGUCUAGAACCGUGCGCCGCGUCCAUGUGAAAGCCCUUCGACGAGUCGAGUUGUUUGGGAAUGCAGCUCUAAAUGGGUGGUAAAUUUCAUCUAAAGCUAAAUAUUGGCCAGAGACCGAUAGCGCACAAGUAGAGUGAUCGAAAGAUGAAAAGCACUUUGAAAAGAGAGUUAAACAGUAUGUGAAAUUGUUGAAAGGGAAGCGCUUGCAACCAGACUUGCGUGUCACGGUUCCCCCGCUCUUCUGACCGGGCUACUCUGUGACAUCCAGGCCAGCAUCGGUUUGGGUGGUUGGUUAAAGAUCCCCGGAACGUACCAACCUCCGGGUUGACUUAUAGCCGGGGAUGUAAUGUGGCCUACCUAGACCGAGGAACGCGCUUCGGCUCGGAUGCUGGCGUAAUGGUUGCAAGCGACCCGUCUUGAAACACGGACCAAGGAGUCUAACAUCUAUGCGAGUGUUCGGGUGUCAAACCCCUACGCGGAAUGAAAGUGAACGGAGGUAAGAGCCCCUGAGGGCGCAUUAUCGACCGAUCCUGAUGUCUUCGGAUGGAUUUGAGUAAGAGCAUAACUGUUGGGACCCGAAAGAUGGUGAACUAUGCCUGAAUAGGGUGAAGCCAGAGGAAACUCUGGUGGAGGCUCGCAGCGGUUCUGACGUGCAAAUCGAUCGUCAA
RNAcentral lists this ribosomal RNA (849 nucleotides) under Hormiscium ericae. RNAcentral describes it as "partial large subunit ribosomal RNA". It matches the Rfam family "Eukaryotic large subunit ribosomal RNA", at positions 40 to 908 of the family's 3401-position model. Lineage: Eukaryota; Fungi; Ascomycota; Dothideomycetes; Pleosporales; Torulaceae. The record is from RNAcentral.